Molecule: non-coding RNA, 21 nt
Organism: Caenorhabditis elegans
Lineage: Eukaryota; Metazoa; Nematoda; Chromadorea; Rhabditida; Rhabditidae
Source: Ensembl
UAUUGAUUCUGUAAAAUUUAU